Pezoporus occidentalis (night parrot) is the source of this 966-nucleotide long non-coding RNA. RefSeq lists it as uncharacterized. Lineage: Eukaryota; Metazoa; Chordata; Aves; Psittaciformes; Psittacidae. The record is from RefSeq and is a predicted model, not a curated record. The transcript has 5 exons.
AAUGUAUAAUCUGUGUUUUACAGAAAGGUGAAAAUAAAGAAUAACCUACUCCCAAAUGCCAAAUUAAGUGAUGGAUUGGGCCCACAUUCAAUUAAAAGUUUCAAUAAAUGCUCAAAGAUUUUGCCAUAUGGAAAUACCUCAGAGCAUGAAAUCAAAAUUAACCCUGUGUGGGAUUAACAUGAUGCACCGGGAAAGCACGUCACGUUUGGUAGACAAAAAUGUGAGUAUGCAGAAGGCAAGUGUAACACUUCUGUUUGCUGGCUGAUUCAUUGUUCUCUUUUAUAGCUGUAGUAAGGAAGAUGAGACUGGGGAACACAGUUCUGCCUGAUCUGCACGCAAAGAGCUUGGCAGACUUGUUCAAGAAUAUACAUCAUUUAUAUUCAGGCCGUUUCUACCCCAUUUUGUACAACUAGAGCAACAUCAAGAGACUAAAGUUUUGCAGAGACUUGCCUCUAUGACAUGAACUGCUAAUUUAUCUUUGUGCGUGUGUGUUUAAGUAGCUGCUUUCCUUGUACAAGAAACUCACUGAGUUGUCCAAUUAGAUUGUCAGAAGGAGCAUUUUAUUAUUAAGAUGCUCUAUGUUCAAAUGUAUUUCACUGACUACUUAUGUACUGGUGACCAGCUACCAGAAAGGCGGGCAGAAGAUGAGAGACAUUUGUGGCUCAUCUAAUUACUGUGAUGUGAAUGGUGUACGCUGCUUUUUGCCAAGCUUGGCCAACUCCAUUACUAUGGCACCCAGCAGAUGAUUAAACCAGGUUUUCAGCUCCUGCUGGCCUCCACAGCAUUGCUUUAGGUUGCUCCAGAUACCACCACAACCUGCCUUGAACCCCCUGGAGGCUGCUUCCCAAGCAGGCACUUAAUGCUCCAGCUCUAAAGGUUCUCUAAACAGUAAAUGCAUGGGACUGCUGUGUAUUAUAGAAUCUCAGACUGGUUUGGGUUGGAAAGGACCUUAAACCUCAUCCAGUU